GUGUUCAGUUUGGCAGCACAUACACUAACAUCGGAACGAUGCAGAGAAGAUUAGCAUGGUCCCCUGCCCAAGGAGGGACAGGACUUCAGGCAUUUGAACAUUCCUU
This is a small nuclear RNA of Leptonychotes weddellii (Weddell seal), 106 nucleotides long. The record is from RefSeq and is a predicted model, not a curated record. Lineage: Eukaryota; Metazoa; Chordata; Mammalia; Carnivora; Phocidae.